UACGAAGGGGGCUAGCGUUGCUCGGAUUGACUGGGCGUAAAGGGCGCGUAGGCGGUUCGUACAGUCAGACGUGAAAUUCCUGGGCUCAACCUGGGGGCUGCGUUUGAUACGUGCGGACUUGAGUGCGGAAGAGGGUCGUGGAAUUCCUAGUGUAGAGGUGAAAUUCGUAGAUAUUGGGAAGAACACCGGUGGCGAAGGCGGCGACCUGGUCCGAUACUGACGCUGAGGCGCGAAAGCGUGGGGAGCAAACAGG
This 253-nucleotide ribosomal RNA is filed under the name uncultured bacterium. RNAcentral describes it as "partial 16S ribosomal RNA". It matches the Rfam family "Bacterial small subunit ribosomal RNA", at positions 524 to 776 of the family's 1533-position model. The record is from RNAcentral.